This 48-nucleotide non-coding RNA is filed under the name Schistosoma mattheei. The record is from RNAcentral. Lineage: Eukaryota; Metazoa; Platyhelminthes; Trematoda; Strigeidida; Schistosomatidae.
AUUUAGCUGACGAGUCCCAAAUAGGACGAAACGUGCAUCAAACUGGAU